RNAcentral lists this unclassified non-coding RNA (363 nucleotides) under Hevea brasiliensis (rubber tree). Lineage: Eukaryota; Viridiplantae; Streptophyta; Magnoliopsida; Malpighiales; Euphorbiaceae. The record is from RNAcentral.
CCUCUUCGGCAAAUAGUGGCUCCUUCUGUCUAUAAUAACGAAGUCUUGCAUUCAAGAGUCUCUAUCUUGGAGAAAGUUAUGGGUGCAAUGAUGAAUCCUACUGUUAAUAUGAUAGGGGUGUACGGUAUGAGUGGUGUUGGCAAUACCACUCUAGCUAAAGAAGUUCACAAGAAAGCGAUAGAAGAAAAGUUAUUCGAUGUUGUGGUUAUGGUUACUGUGUCUGAAACGCCAAAUGUUAGAGAAAUUCAGGGGAUGAUUGCUGAUGUGCUGGGCUUUAAAUUCGAAGAGGAGUCAGAAGAUGGAAGAGCAGAUCGAUUGCAUCAACGAUUAGAGAAUGAUUUAAAGAAUGAGAAGAAGAUCCUU